CCCUUAGAUGUUCUGGGCCGCACACGCGCUACACUGAAGGAGGCAGCGUGUACUCCUGGAUCGAAAGAUUUGGGUAACCCGCGAAUCUCCUUCGUGCUAGGGAUUGAGGUUUGCAAUUAUCCUUCAUGAACGAGGAAUUCCCAGUAAGUGCAAGUCAUAAGCUUGCGCUGACUACGUACCUGCCCUUUGUACACACCGCCCGUCGCUACUACCGAUUGAAUGAUUUAGUGAGGACUUCGGACUGGGACCGAUGCGGCUUUCGGGCUGCGUCGGUAUUCUGGAAAGAUGUCCAAACUGUNUNAUUUAGNGGAAGUAAAANUCGUANCA
RNAcentral lists this ribosomal RNA (327 nucleotides) under uncultured eukaryote. RNAcentral's name for it is "partial 18S ribosomal RNA". It matches the Rfam family "Eukaryotic small subunit ribosomal RNA", at positions 1470 to 1796 of the family's 1831-position model. The record is from RNAcentral.